UUAUAAAAAGGAAGAAGCCCUGUCCAUUGCCCACUUUCGUUCUAGGGUUUUGUAGGAGCAGCCAGGAGACGAUCUCUCUUAGAUGUAUUUUUGAAUCUUAAUAUCGGGCGGCGGCGAUGGUACAGAGAAGGGUUGCCGUCAGAUCGGCUUCUGUUUCCAGACAUGGAACCUCGGCUCAUGUAGGGUUUUCAUUUCUACGGAAGCAGAGCAAGAGCACCUGCUUGUCUGUGUACACGGACAUGGUUGGAGAAGAUGGUGGAAGGAAAGACUCGUCAUAUUGGGGUUUUGGUGUAAACAUGUUAUGCUUUGGAUUGUGUAUUAUAUAAUUUCAUGGAUUUCCUCGAAUUUGGUUUAUAAAUUUUAUCAUGUCUUCAGUUUCUGGUUGUAGUUCUAAUUAGAAUUUCCCGAGCAAUAAAAUGCUAGUUUUAUGUUUU
Long non-coding RNA from Tarenaya hassleriana, 434 nucleotides. RefSeq lists it as uncharacterized. The transcript is spliced from 2 exons. The record is from RefSeq and is a predicted model, not a curated record. Lineage: Eukaryota; Viridiplantae; Streptophyta; Magnoliopsida; Brassicales; Cleomaceae.